Molecule: non-coding RNA, 105 nt
Filed under: Thiomonas bhubaneswarensis
Lineage: Bacteria; Pseudomonadati; Pseudomonadota; Betaproteobacteria; Burkholderiales
Description: Glycine sequence
Rfam family: Glycine riboswitch aptamer
About the family: This family represents the bacterial glycine riboswitch. Glycine riboswitches usually consist of two metabolite-binding aptamers domains with similar structures in tandem. The aptamers cooperatively bind glycine to regulate the expression of downstream genes.
Source: Rfam by way of RNAcentral
GUGUUCCUCACUGGAGAGUGGCGCUGUCGUCGAGCGCUCACCGAAGGGGCAAGUCUGGUCGCUGACCAGAUCAAUCUCUCAGGUACCCGGGACAGCGAGGGGUUG